This 52-nucleotide non-coding RNA is filed under the name Karenia brevis. Lineage: Eukaryota; Dinophyceae; Gymnodiniales; Kareniaceae. The record is from RNAcentral.
GUGCUGCUGAGGAGCACAAGGACGAGGGAGAAAGAGAAGUGGAAGAAGAUGA